GGGGGGGGGGGGGGGGGGGGGGGGGGGGGGCGGGGCGGGGGGCGGCGCGGUGAGGGCGUGCUCUUGCGGGUGGCGAGUGGCGGACGGGUGAGGAAUACAUCGGAAUCUACUUUUUCGUGGGGGAUAACGUAGGGAAACUUACGCUAAUACCGCAUACGACCUACGGGUGAAAGCAGGGGAUCUUCGGACCUUGCGCGAUUGAAUGAGCCGAUGUCGGAUUAGCUAGUUGGCGGGGUAAAGGCCCACCAAGGCGACGAUCCGUAGCUGGUCUGAGAGGAUGAUCAGCCACACUGGAACUGAGACACGGUCCAGACUCCUACGGGAGGCAGCAGUGGGGAAUAUUGGACAAUGGGCGCAAGCCUGAUCCAGCCAUACCGCGUGGGUGAAGAAGGCCUUCGGGUUGUAAAGCCCUUUUGUUGGGAAAGAAAAGCAGCAGGUUAAUACCCCGCUGUUCUGACGGUACCCAAAGAAUAAGCACCGGCUAACUUCGUG
RNAcentral lists this ribosomal RNA (492 nucleotides) under uncultured bacterium. RNAcentral describes it as "partial 16S ribosomal RNA". It matches the Rfam family "Bacterial small subunit ribosomal RNA", at positions 39 to 507 of the family's 1533-position model. The record is from RNAcentral.